Momordica charantia (bitter melon) is the source of this 1244-nucleotide non-coding RNA. Lineage: Eukaryota; Viridiplantae; Streptophyta; Magnoliopsida; Cucurbitales; Cucurbitaceae. The record is from RefSeq and is a predicted model, not a curated record.
UUUAACCAACAAUUAAUUAUUAUAUUUUAGGUAGCUUAUUCUCCACGCAGGCUAACGCUAUAAAUGUGGGUCUGACAUCUCAUUUUAUUAUUCUUCUUUUCUGUGGUUUGCUUCACUCGUACAUCUCCUUCUCCGCCUUCUUCUUUCGUAUCUGUUCAUCGGCUUCUCUCGUCGACGGCAUAAUCAGUUCCCAGGUUCGCUUAUCCAUUUCGAUUUCAUUUAUCGAUUUCUAUUUGCCAUUCGUUUUGCGAUUACGAAAACUAUCGAUUCUUACCGUCUAGGGUUUUCUCCACUCUCUCACUCGAUUAACCCACUUUCUUAAAAUCUUUCGGGUUUCUUGUGAGAAAGUGAUUCGGUAUCUUCUCCAUCUCUUUCAGAUCGCUCUCUUCUUGCGGAAAUUUCCCCCCACUUCACUUUUGGCUGAAACUGGUACCAAAUACGUCGAGAUUCCAUAUUCUGUCGGCCCACAAAAAUUUUGAGACCCAUUCCGCCCGCCUCUCGAAACCCUACCCUCUCGAAUUUGUAUCCGUUUCCGUUUCCGUUUCCCGGACCCCGCCUAUUGAAAAUUAAGCAAGACGUUUGAACUAUCGCUGUCGCUGCUGUGGUUCAAGGGUUGUCUCCCAAUUUUCCAUUCUUUACUAAUUUUGUUUUUUAGCUAUGAAAUCAAUAGCGUAUAAUGUUUCAACAUUCCAAAUUCAAUGAUUUAUUAGGAAAUUAUUGUUUCCAGAAUGGRACCAAUUAGACUAAAUGCCAGUUGUUGAAAAACAAAUGAGGAGAUUCCGCAUAACUUUUUUUUACGUCUCCAAUAUAGAUCAUUAUGCAAAAGCAAGCCACUCUGCCCUGUCUCAGCAUCUUAUUAUGACCACCUUUUUCCAUAGUUCUUUCUUUCUGUAAGAAUGUUGUUGUAUGGCUAUACAUAAUCUCAUUUCGUCACGUGACAUGUUCAUUCAUGGCGUUUUUGCUUUAUGAUAUAACUUUUGGUGCCCUCUUGAGAGAUUGAAGCUGGAGUACAUAGUUCGUGGUGAGCGGAAAAACCUAUUAAACUAAUCAAGGUCCGAAAGGUUUUUGAACGGUUGAUAAUUUUGAGCGGUUCCUCAACGAUCUGCAACCGUUCUAUGCAUCCCUUUGGACACAGUAAGUGGCAAUUGCUUGUGUAGGUUACCGAGUAUAUUGACAUAGUUCUCGAAAUAUUUGUAGAUGUAACAGUUGCCUCAAUGUAAUGGUUGCUCCAAUAUAUUUGGUCC